UACAGAGGGUGCAAACGUUGUUCGGAAUCACUGGGCAUAAAGCGUAUGUAGGCGGCUCCGUAAGUGUCGGGUGAAAUCCCACGGCCUACCCGUGGAACUGUUCGGCAUACUGCGGAGCUAGAGGAUGGUAGAGGAGAGCGGAACUCUUGGUGGAGCGGUGAAAUGCGUAGAUAUCAAGAGGAACACCGGUGGCGAAGGCGGCUCUCUGGUCCAUUACUGACGCUGAGGUACGAAAGCUAGGGGAGCAAACGGG
This 253-nucleotide ribosomal RNA is filed under the name uncultured bacterium. RNAcentral's name for it is "partial 16S ribosomal RNA". It matches the Rfam family "Bacterial small subunit ribosomal RNA", at positions 524 to 776 of the family's 1533-position model. The record is from RNAcentral.